This 533-nucleotide unclassified non-coding RNA is filed under the name Hevea brasiliensis (rubber tree). The record is from RNAcentral. Lineage: Eukaryota; Viridiplantae; Streptophyta; Magnoliopsida; Malpighiales; Euphorbiaceae.
AGAGUAGAGAAAAACAACUCUCCAAGAAACAUAUGUGCAGCAACAAUCAUCAAAGGAAGGCAGCCAGAAAAUUCUUCGCGGAAAAGUUAAAUAUUUUGACCCUUGUGAGAACAGUACAAAAUAAUGUCACUUUCAUUUUAUGGUUCUUUCAGUUAAUAUGAAAGUUCAGGACAAGACUCAUUUAAGAUGUAAUUAUGGAGAAAUUAAACCAUCCAAAAUUAAAUAAGGGAAGACACAGAAAUUCAACUGAUUAUAAGGGUAUCCCAAUUGGGUGUCCUAAUUAUUAACACUGAUACAGCUUUUAUUGCUAAAGAAAAUGUCUUCUUGCCUAGAAUUGAAACUAAUGCUAAUAAAGGGGUAUCCUAAUCCAUGAUAGCAUGACUAGACAGUGUCAUAAAUGUCCUUGUUCCUGUGUAGGCAAUUCAAAUAUCAUUUUCGACGCCUAAAUGGAACCAAGUGAGAGUAACAGAUCCUAUAAUAUAGCAGAUAAUUUUGGGAAUUUUUUUUGUCUUACCAUAGCAUUGAAAUGGUAU